RNAcentral lists this unclassified non-coding RNA (189 nucleotides) under soil metagenome. Its description in RNAcentral is "partial internal transcribed spacer 1". The record is from RNAcentral.
CAGAGUUGCAAAACUCCACUAAACCAUUGUGAAUCUACCCGUUACCGGUUGCCUUCGGCGGGCGGUCCGAAGGCCCUCGGCCCCCGGAUCCUCGGGUCUCCCGCUCGCGGGAGGCUGCCCGCCGGAGUGCCGAACCUAAACUCUUGAUAUCUUAGUGUCUCUCUGAGUAAUUCUUUACUGAAUAAGUCA